GGAAAAGAAACUAACAAGGAUUCCCCUAGUAACGGCGAGUGAAGCGGGAUGAGCUCAAGCUUAAAAUCUCCGUACAAGUUUUGUACGGCGAAUUGUAGUCUAUAGAGGCGUGGUCAGCGUGGGCGCUUGGGGCAAGUUCCUUGGAAGAGGACAGCAUGGAGGGUGAUACUCCCGUUCAUCCCUGAGUGGUUCGUGCGUACGGCCCGUUUUCUUUGAGUCGCGUUGUUUGGGAAUGCAGCGCAAAGUAGGUGGUAAAUUCCAUCUAAAGCUAAAUAUUGGUGCGAGACCGAUAGCGAACAAGUACCGUGAGGGAAAGAUGAAAAGAACUUUGAAAAGAGAGUUAAAGAGUACCUGAAACUGCUGAAAGGGAACCGAAUCGUUUCCAGUGUCUAUAAUCCGUGGCAUAUUUCAUUGGCGAGUGUGUGCGUGCGUGUGCUGUGGCAGCGGCCUUUUGGCUGCGCUUGGCGCGUGUGGUGUGUGUGCUUGCUGGUGCCCUGUGCUGCGGUGGGACGUCAAUGUCAGUUCGUAUGCUGCGGGAAAUGGCUGCCGAGGAGGUAGGGCUUACGCUUGCGUUUGUCUGUUAUAUCUUGGUGGACGAGUCGUCGCGGUUGGGACUGAGGUGCCUACAACGUGCUUUUGAGUGGGUUUGUGUCUCCGUGUGUGCCGUGUGCGGAUAGCUUGCUAUGCGUGUGUGGUUAUGUGUGGAUUGAUACGGGCUUUAACUUGUUGCCGUUCGGGACGUUGACGAAAUGGAGCGAUCCGACCCGUCUUGAAACACGGACCAAGGAGUCUAACAUGUGUGCAAGUGUUAGGGUGUGGAAACCCCAGCGCGAAAUGAAAGUAAAGGGCAGCGCAAUCUGUCUGAGGUAGGAAACGUUGCGGGCUUCGGUCUGCAGCGUGGCACUAUCGACCGAUCAUGAACCUUCGUGGUGAAAGAUUUGAGUUUGAGCACAUAUGUUGGUACCCGAAAGAUGGUGAACUAUGCCUGAGUAGGGUGAAGCCAGGGGAAACUCUGGUGGAAGCUCGUAGCGAUUCUGACGUGCAAAUCGAUCGUCAAACUUGGGUAUAGGGGCGAAAGACUAAUCGAACCAUCUAGUAGCUGGUUCCCUCCGAAAUUUCCCUCAGGAUAGCAGCAACUUAUUUACGAUAGUUUUAUGAGGUAAAGCGAAUGAUUAGAGGAUUCGGGGAAGAAACUUCCUCGACCUAUUCUCAAACUUUAAAUCUGUAAGACCUGCAGGUUUCUUAAUUGAACUUGUGGAUG
RNAcentral lists this ribosomal RNA (1261 nucleotides) under Peronospora dicentrae. Its description in RNAcentral is "eukaryotic LSU rRNA". It matches the Rfam family "Eukaryotic large subunit ribosomal RNA", at positions 55 to 1109 of the family's 3401-position model. The record is from RNAcentral. Lineage: Eukaryota; Oomycota; Peronosporomycetes; Peronosporales; Peronosporaceae.